GGGUGAGUAACACGUGGGUAACCUGCCCAAGAGACUGGGAUAACACCUGGAAACAGAUGCUAAUACCGGAUAACAACACUAGACGCAUGUCUAGAGUUUGAAAGAUGGUUCUGCUAUCACUCUUGGAUGGACCUGCGGUGCAUUAGCUAGUUGGUAAGGUAACGGCUUACCAAGGCAAUGAUGCAUAGCCGAGUUGAGAGACUGAUCGGCCACAUUGGGACUGAGACACGGCCCAAACUCCUACGGGAGGCAGCAGUAGGGAAUCUUCCACAAUGGACGAAAGUCUGAUGGAGCAACGCCGCGUGAGUGAAGAAGGGUUUCGGCUCGUAAAGCUCUGUUGGUAGUGAAGAAAGAUAGAGGUAGUAACUGGCCUUUAUUUGACGGUAAUUACUUAGAAAGUCACGGCUAACUACGUGCCAGCAGCCGCGGUAAUACGUAGGUGGCAAGCGUUGUCCGGAUUUAUUGGGCGUAAAGCGAGUGCAGGCGGUUCAAUAAGUCUGAUGUGAAAGCCUUCGGCUCAACCGGAGAAUUGCAUCAGAAACUGUUGAACUUGAGUGCAGAAGAGGAGAGUGGAACUCCAUGUGUAGCGGUGGAAUGCGUAGAUAUAUGGAAGAACACCAGUGGCGAAGGCGGCUCUCUGGUCUGCAACUGACGCUGAGGCUCGAAAGCAUGGGUAGCGAACAGGAUUAGACACCCUGGUAGUCCAUGCCGUAAACGAU
This 719-nucleotide ribosomal RNA is filed under the name uncultured bacterium. Its description in RNAcentral is "bacterial SSU rRNA". It matches the Rfam family "Bacterial small subunit ribosomal RNA", at positions 104 to 810 of the family's 1533-position model. The record is from RNAcentral.